RNAcentral lists this ribosomal RNA (442 nucleotides) under uncultured bacterium. RNAcentral describes it as "partial 16S ribosomal RNA". It matches the Rfam family "Bacterial small subunit ribosomal RNA", at positions 338 to 795 of the family's 1533-position model. The record is from RNAcentral.
CCUACGGGGAGCAGCAGUGGGGGAUAUUGCACAAUGGGGGGAACCCUGAUGCAGCGACGCCGCGUGGGUGAAGGAGUGCUUCGGCAUGUAAAGCCCUAUCGGCAGGGAAGAAGCAAGACGGUACCUGACUAAGAAGCCCGGGCUAACUACGUGCCAGCAGCCGCGGUAAUACGUAGGGGGCGAGCGUUAUCCGGAGUUAUGGGGUUUAAAGGGAGCGUAGGCUGGGAGGUAAGUCAGCGGGGGAAUGCCCCGGCUCAACGGGGUGAAGUGCCAUUGAUACUGCCGUGCUAGAAUGCGGAUGCGGUGGGAGGAAUGUGUGGUGUAGCGGUGAAAUGCAUAGAUAUCACACAGAACACCGAUUGCGAAGGCAGCUCACGAAUCCACGAUUGACGCUGAUGCACGAAAGCGUGGGUAUCAAACAGGAUUAGAUACCCUUGUAGUC